GAAAUGCGAUAAGUAAUGUGAAUUUCAGAAUUCCGUGAAUCAUCGAAUCUUUGAACGCACAUUGCGCCCUCUGGCAUUCCGGGGGGCAUGCCUGUCCGAGCGUCAUUACGCACCCUCAAGCCCGGCUUGUGUGAUGGGCCCCGGCGUCUUGUUCGCGAGACGGGCCCGAAAGGCAGCGGCGGCGUCGACCCGAUGAGCCCGAGCGUAUGGGGACUUCUGUCACACGUUCGCGGUGCGGACCGGCGCCUGCUUGACUUUUCUGAUUAUCCAGGUUGACCUCGGAUCAGGUAGGGAUACCCGCUGAACUUAAGC
Molecule: unclassified non-coding RNA, 312 nt
Filed under: plant metagenome
Description: partial contains 5.8S ribosomal RNA, internal transcribed spacer 2, and large subunit ribosomal RNA
Rfam family: 5.8S ribosomal RNA (bases 1-105)
Source: RNAcentral